RNAcentral lists this long non-coding RNA (316 nucleotides) under Lupinus angustifolius (narrow-leaved blue lupine). Its description in RNAcentral is "long non-coding RNA (LANG_LNC000909)". Lineage: Eukaryota; Viridiplantae; Streptophyta; Magnoliopsida; Fabales; Fabaceae. The record is from RNAcentral.
UGUGAAUACCAUCAUGACCUACCAAGGGACAUUGUGACCCCAAGCAUACCAUCCGAAAUUACAAAUGAAUAAAAAUAUUCAUAAUGCAAUUGAAUUUAAGAAACCAACACCUCAAUCUUAUUUUUCCAGCAUCCUCAUAUUACUUAUGAAUAAAGAAUUCAAAAUUCAUAUUGAAAUUUCAUAUAGAACCACAUCCAAAAAAUUAGGAUCUCAUUCAAAUUUAGAAAUUAUAGGCAACUUGAAUUCAUCUUCUUCCAAGCACUAUACAAUUUUCGCUGACCAAUUCAAACUCUUGGGUUUGUAAAGCCAAUUAAAA